UAGCUCUAGCCCGUGCUUUGCCGGCUCACUGUGCGUUAGCUUUAACAGUGAAGUCUGUGGGGUACACAGCAAUUUCCCUCUCUGUAGAGGUGAGCUGUUCUGAGCCUACAGCUGACUCUUAAAGGCAUGAGAGGACAAU
Non-coding RNA from Sorex fumeus (smoky shrew), 139 nucleotides. RefSeq annotates it as small Cajal body-specific RNA 11. Lineage: Eukaryota; Metazoa; Chordata; Mammalia; Eulipotyphla; Soricidae. The transcript has a single exon. The record is from RefSeq and is a predicted model, not a curated record.